AGAUUAAGUUAUUAAGGGCGCACGGUGGAUGCCUUGGCACUAGAAGCCGAUGAAGGACGUUACUAACGACGAUAUGCUUUGGGGAGCUGUAAGUAAGCUUUGAUCCAGAGAUUUCCGAAUGGGGAAACCCAGCAUGAGUUAUGUCAUGUUAUCGAUAUGUGAAUACAUAGCAUAUCAGAAGGCACACCCGGAGAACUGAAACAUCUUAGUACCCGGAGGAAGAGAAAGAAAAUUCGAUUCCCUUAGUAGCGGCGAGCGAAACGGGAAGAGCCCAAACCAAAAAGCUUGCUUGUUGGGGUUGUAGGACACUCUAUACGGAGUUACAAAGGACGACAUUAGACGAAUCAUCUGGAAAGAUGAAUCAAAGAAGGUAAUAAUCCUGUAGUCGAAAAUGUUGUCUCUCUUGAGUGGAUCCUGAGUACGACGGAGCACGUGAAAUUCCGUCGGAAUCUGGGAGGACCAUCUCCUAAGGCUAAAUACUCUCUAGUGACCGAUAGUGAACCAGUACCGUGAGGGAAAGGUGAAAAGCACCCCGGAAGGGGAGUGAAAUAGAACCUGAAACCGUGUGCUUACAAGUAGUCAGAGCCCGUUAAUGGGUGAUGGCGUGCCUUUUGUAGAAUGA
Molecule: ribosomal RNA, 622 nt
Filed under: Staphylococcus aureus
Lineage: Bacteria; Bacillati; Bacillota; Bacilli; Caryophanales; Staphylococcaceae
Description: bacterial LSU rRNA
Rfam family: Bacterial large subunit ribosomal RNA
Source: RNAcentral